CCAAAGGCCAAGGGGGGACCCAAAACCCCAAGCACCCCACCCCAUCCACAUUGAACACAGAGGGUCGAGGUAGGUGCUUGUGGUUGUGGCUUAGGCGCUUAGCCAGUUAGACUAGACUCCCUAGAAAUCCAAAAAAACGAAUGUUAGGCGAAGAACGACUGUGGGGCGUAGGGUUUUGUUGGUGGUCGUCUCGAUAAAUCUGGCCUCGGCAUUGCUGCUGGUUUGGUCAGGAGAGUCAGAAUCAUGAAAAUAAAAACUGGCACAUGAUUUUGAACGUUAUAUUAGAAAAAUAAAGAGGAAAGAGAAGAGAUACAGUAGUAUCAUUUUUAUGUUUAUGUGGAUCCCAAACAUGGGGGAAAAGAAAAGGGGUAGUGAAGGGAUUUUGGGAAAUGAUGAGGGUAGGCAAGGAAACAAGAAGAGGACACCGGUUGCUUGCGCAAAUCUAGCUAAUCUGGGACUUCCGGGCCAACUAAAGUGAAAGUUGGGGUUGAAGCUGUGGUUAAGGCAAAACCCCAAACCCAAAGCCAUCCCCCCCACCCCAGCCAAACCGUACCAACAUCACCAUUCCCACAUUUACUUCUUGGCCUCAUUAUGUUUAGGCAGACACGGUUCUCAAUAUAGCCAGUAGAUACAUGUUGCAAGCCAAGCACCUUAGCUGCUACUUACUCUUCUUCUUCUUCUUCGCUCAAACGCUCUCUUUCUUUUUCUUCACUCUUUGAAUAUUUGAAUCUUUUCUUUCUAGCAUAGGACAAGAAAACCCCAUCAUCAAAGGAAAAAAAACGAAGAAAGUAGAAGAGAAGUAAAUAAAAACGGUUGUGGUGGGGGCAAAAGCGGAAGCAAAGGGAGGACUUUGCUCCAAGAAUGGUGACUGCUGUGAAUCCAUCUACAAAGAGAAUUGGAGGAAGAUUGGGCUUUUCCAUGAGAAUUUAUGUGAAGCGAAUGGGUUUUGGAGGCUUAUAUAAAGCAUGGGGUAAUUAUAGAAGAAACUUCAGUUUCUUCAAACUCCAAUCUUUGCAACAAGCUCUCUUCUUAAUCUUCUUCUUCAGCUUUUGGUGAUGGGAGGGGGAGGUGGUGGCGGUGGUGAUAUUGGCUGGACGGCUCAAUCUCUUUAUUGUUCAUUUAUGAUAUACUAAAAUUUUUUCUUCUCUUUUUUGCUGCUUACUUGUUGGUCCAUAAUGUUGGUAAAUGCAACGGGUAUGUUGGUCUCUUUGCUGAUUUUUUCCGCUUUUAUUUUAUUUUAGUUACACUAACUUCAUCUUUUGGCUUUUGGUUUUAUGCCUUUUGCUUGCUUCAUGAAGAAAAAAAACAUUUUCAGAGAAAGAAAAAAAAAAGAAACUUCAAAACAAGAAACUAACAGUAAUCAGGAGGUUAGAAAAUAGUGCAGUAAAUAGGGAGGAGCUGAUUCUGUGAAGGGUUGGUGACUAAAGUAAAUAUUUGAGGUCUCUACACUGUUUUAUUGUACUCAGCCUCUGUCCCUGUAAUUUAUUGUAUAUCUUCUGGGGAAAUGUGUGAGCUUUAUUAAUAGUAAUGAUAUUUGUUAAUUAUAAUA
RNAcentral lists this small RNA (1549 nucleotides) under Theobroma cacao (cacao). Its description in RNAcentral is "sRNA Tc09v2_g013270". Lineage: Eukaryota; Viridiplantae; Streptophyta; Magnoliopsida; Malvales; Malvaceae. The record is from RNAcentral.